CCUACGGGUGGCAGCAGUGGGGAAUAUUGCACAAUGGGGGAAACCCUGAUGCAGCGACGCCGCGUGAGUGAAGAAGUAUUUCGGUAUGUAAAGCUCUAUCAGCAGGGAAGAAAAUGACGGUACCUGAUUAAGAAGCCCCGGCUAACUACGUGCCAGCAGCCGCGGUAAUACGUAGGGGGCAAGCGUUAUCCGGAUUUACUGGGUGUAAAGGGAGCGUAGACGGCAGCACAAGUCUGGAGUGAAAUGCCGGGGCUCAACCCCGGCCCGCCGUUGAAACUGGCAGUCUCGAGUUGGAGAGAAGUAUGCGGAAUGCGCGGUGUAGCGGUGAAAUGCAUAGAUAUCGCGCAGAACUCCGAUUGCGAAGGCAGCAUGCCGGCUCCACACUGACGCUGAGGCACGAAAGCGUGGGUAUCGAACAGGAUUAGAUACCCUUGUAGUC
Molecule: ribosomal RNA, 439 nt
Filed under: uncultured bacterium
Lineage: Bacteria
Description: partial 16S ribosomal RNA
Rfam family: Bacterial small subunit ribosomal RNA
Source: RNAcentral